Molecule: long non-coding RNA, 2088 nt
Filed under: Scophthalmus maximus (turbot)
Lineage: Eukaryota; Metazoa; Chordata; Actinopteri; Pleuronectiformes; Scophthalmidae
Description: lncRNA (ENSSMAG00000029276.1)
Source: RNAcentral
AUGUUUCUGAAUUUCUCCCAUCAGGAUGUACAGAAGGCUAUGGCCAGCCUCGGUAUUCAGUUGUCUGAUCUGAAGGUGGUUGUGGACAGGAAGGACACACUCGUGACUUCUUCAAUGCAGAAGGCAGAUAAAGGUGACAAGGGAGACAAGGGGGAGUCAGGACAGAGAGGACCAUCUGGUUUAGAUGUGAGUAUGAUUACAUGGCUGAGGGUAAAAAUAAAGCGCCAUGAUGAAGAUCCCCAGGAAGACCAUAUUAGGUCCAGAUGGGGCACUUUUCAUUUUGAUGUUUAUCACAAAGUAUAUUAACUGAAUUUUGUGUUUUUUUCUUUUUUUGAUAAUAAUCUUUUCUGUCCACUUCUUGUCGAACACUAGGGUGCUCGUGGUUUUCCAGGAGAUAGGGGAACAAAAGGGGAUCAAGGGGAGCGAGGACCCAUGGGAACAACGGGGCCUCCCGGAAGAGCUAUUGGGGAACGAGGGCCAGAGGGACCCCCAGGGCCUGCAGGAGAGCCAGGCAAGCCAGGAAUACCGGGUGUUCCUGGGCGAGCUGGGGAACUGGGAGAGUCUGGAAGACCAGGAGAAAAGGUAAAGUGAAGAGCUGCGUGUCAACAAAUCAAGAUAUUCAAUUGAACUCAACAUGAUUCUGGUAAUUUGCUGUCCGUGUGUGUUUCAGGGGGAGCGGGGAGAGAGAGGUGACAAAGGGGAAUCUGUAAGUGCUCAUGUUAGGCUGAUGUCAACAUUAAUGUUUUACCUAAACAUAUUCAAAAUCAGCUGAGCAUUUCUUUCUGUUUGUCAGGGAAAAAUUGGGUUGACAGGACAAGUCGGCCCACCAGGUCAAAAGGUAAACUGCUUUUUAUCCUUGUUGGUGAUGUAGUGAAACCCUUGUGAUGUGAUAUUUAGGAAAUAUAUGAUGUAAAAUUGAGUUCAAAAACCUUUGUACUUAUGUAUGUACUGUAGGGAGCAUCUGCUGACUCGAUUUUGAUUGGUACGCCGGGGGCCAGAGGCCCUCCAGGUCUCGCAGGACAGAAGGGAGAGCCUGGUGCAGCAGGACCGCCUGGAACAAUGGGAGAACGGGUGAGAUUUACACAUAAUUGAUCUAAUACAGAACAACAUGUAGAUGUUAUACAUAAUAUCAUGUGUUUUUUCAUUUGUCCUUAAGGGUUUUGUGGGACCUCAAGGUAAUAAGGGAGACCGAGGAGAGUCUGGAGAAAAAGGACGUGAUGGCUCAUCGGUGAGUUUGAUCUCAGAUGUUUUGUACAGUUUGCUUCAAUUAUUGCUUUUCCCUUUUUACCUACAGUACUUGCUUUAUCCUCCCCUUAUUUUCUAUUUACUGUGUUUGUUAUGCACCAAAUCACCAAAGCAAAUUCCUUGUAUGUGAGAAACUACGUGGCAAUAAAACAAUUCAGAUUCUGAUCACAAACUAAAAUUUGUUUGACUCUGGCAUUUUGGGAAAUCAGUAUAUUUGCUGUCCAUGGUGUCUUUGUUGUUAUUAGACUUCUGUGCUAGCCAUGGCUUGUCUAUAAUGAACACCAUGUUCGAACAUAAGGAUGCUCAUAAGUGUACAUGGUACCAGAGCACCCUAGGCCAAAGGUCGAUGAUCGAUUUUGUGAUCGUUUCAUCUGAUCUGAGGCCGCAUGUUUUGGACACUCGGGUGAAGAGAGGGGCGGAGCUGUCAACUGAUCAUCAUCUGGUGGUGAGUUGGAUCCGGGGGUGGGGGGAAGACUCUGGAUAGACCUGGUAAGCCCAAACGUGUAGUGCGGGUGAACUGGGAACGUCUGGAGGAGGCCCCCAUCCAGGAGAUUUUCAACUCACACCUCCGGCGGAGCUUUUCUGGCAUUCCUGUGGAGGUUGGGGCAUUGAACCCGAGUGGGAAAUGUUCAAAGCUUCCAUUGCUGAAGCUGCGGCGGUGAGCUGUGGUCUCAAGGUCUUAGGUGCCUCAAGGGGCGGUAACCCUCGAACUCCGUGGUGGACACCGGUGGUCAGGGAAGCUGUCCAACUGAAGAAAGAGUCCUUUAGGGAUAUGUUAUCCCAGAGGACUCCGGAAGCAGUUGCAAGGUACCGACGGGCCCCGAAGGGCUGCAGCCUCUGCCG